GGAUAACUGAUGGAAACGUCAGCUAAGACCGCAUAGGUGUAGAGAUCGCAUGAACUCUAUAUGAAAAGUGCUACGGGACUGGUAGAUGAUGGACUUAUGGCGCAUUAGCUUGUUGGUAGGGUAACGGCCUACCAAGGCGACGAUGCGUAGCCGACCUGAGAGGGUGACCGGCCACACUGGGACUGAGACACGGCCCAGACUCCUACGGGAGGCAGCAGUAGGGAAUUUUCGGCAAUGGGGGAAACCCUGACCGAGCAACGCCGCGUGAAGGAAGAAGUAAUUCGUUAUGUAAACUUCUGUCAUAGAGGAAGAACGGUGGAUAUAGGGAAUGAUAUCCAAGUGACGGUACUCUAUAAGAAAGCCACGGCUAACUACGUGCCAGCAGCCGCGGUAAUACGUAGGUGGCGAGCGUUAUCCGGAAUUAUUGGGCGUAAAGAGGGAGCAGGCGGCACUAAGGGUCUGUGGUGAAAGAUCGAAGCUUGACUUCGGUAAGCCAUGGAAACCGUAGAGCUAGAGUGUGUGAGAGGAUCGUGGAAUUCCAUGUGUAGCGGUGAAAUGCGUAGAUAUAUGGAGGAACACCAGUGGCGAAGGCGACGAUCUGGCGCAUAACUGACGCUCAGUCCCGAAAGCGUGGGGAGCAAAUAGGAUUAGAUACCCUAGUAGUCCACGCCGUAAACGAUGAGUACUAAGUGUUGGGUGUCAAAGCUCAGUGCUGCAG
Molecule: ribosomal RNA, 718 nt
Filed under: uncultured bacterium
Lineage: Bacteria
Description: bacterial SSU rRNA
Rfam family: Bacterial small subunit ribosomal RNA
Source: RNAcentral